Molecule: ribosomal RNA, 446 nt
Filed under: uncultured bacterium
Lineage: Bacteria
Description: partial 16S ribosomal RNA
Rfam family: Bacterial small subunit ribosomal RNA
Source: RNAcentral
CCUACGGGUGGCAGCAGUCGAGAAUCAUUCGCAAUGGGCGCAAGCCUGAUGCUGCAACGCCGCGUGAAGGAAUAAGGGUCUUCGGAUUUUAAACCCCUGUCAUGUGGACGCAAAUUAAGACGGUACUACCACAAGAAGCAGAGACUGCUAACUCGGUACCAGCCGCCGCAGUAAUACGGUGGUAUCAAUCGUUUGUCGGAAUCACUGGGCGUAAAGCGGGUGUAGGCUGGUCUGGAAGUCGGUUGUGAAAAGCGCGGGCACAACCCGCGGACGGCAAAUGAUACUGCUAGACUAGAGUAAUGGAGGGGCAAGCGGAAUUCUGGGUGUAGCAGUGAAAUGCGUAGAUAUAGAGAGGAACACCAGUGGCGAAGGCGGGUUCCUGGACAUUAACUGACGCUGAGGCACGAAGGCCAGGGGAGCGAAAGGGAUUAGAUACCCCUGUAGUC